RNAcentral lists this ribosomal RNA (526 nucleotides) under Fusarium equiseti. RNAcentral describes it as "eukaryotic LSU rRNA". The stretch from base 170 to 323 matches the Rfam family "5.8S ribosomal RNA". The record is from RNAcentral. Lineage: Eukaryota; Fungi; Ascomycota; Sordariomycetes; Hypocreales; Nectriaceae.
GGCCUGCGGAGGGAUCAUUACCGAGUUUACAACUCCCAAACCCCUGUGAACAUACCUAUACGUUGCCUCGGCGGAUCAGCCCGCGCCCCGUAAAAAGGGACGGCCCGCCCGAGGACCCCUAAACUCUGUUUUUAGUGGAACUUCUGAGUAAAACAAACAAAUAAAUCAAAACUUUCAACAACGGAUCUCUUGGUUCUGGCAUCGAUGAAGAACGCAGCAAAAUGCGAUAAGUAAUGUGAAUUGCAGAAUUCAGUGAAUCAUCGAAUCUUUGAACGCACAUUGCGCCCGCCAGUAUUCUGGCGGGCAUGCCUGUUCGAGCGUCAUUUCAACCCUCAAGCUCAGCUUGGUGUUGGGACUCGCGGUAACCCGCGUUCCCCAAAUCGAUUGGCGGUCACGUCGAGCUUCCAUAGCGUAGUAAUCAUACACCUCGUUACUGGUAAUCGUCGCGGCCACGCCGUAAAACCCCAACUUCUGAAUGUUGACCUCGGAUCAGGUAGGAAUACCCGCUGAACUUAAGCAUAUCAAA